UGAGGGGAACCGCCUGAACUGAAACAUCUAAGUAGGGCGAGGAAGAGAAAUCAACUGAGAUUCCGUAAGUAGUGGCGAGCGAACGCGGAAGAGGCCAAACCUAAUGUAGUAAUAUGUUAGGGGUUCGGACAGUAUAAUGAAUUGUCGAGAUUUAGCCGAAUGUCAUGGGAAGGGCAAUCAAAGAAGGUGAAAAUCCUGUAGGCGAAAAGUUAAGACAUCAGACUGUAUCCAGAGUACCGCCGGACACGUGAAACCCGGUGGGAAUACGGGGGGACCAUCCUCCAAGCCUAAAUACUACUCGGUGACCGAUAGAGAAGAAGUACUGUGAAGGAAAGGUGAAAAGCACCCCGGAAGGGGAGUGAAAGAGAACCUGAAACCUUGUGUUUACAAGCACCGAAAGUUCAUCAACGAACGAUCGGGUACCUUUUGUAGAAUGGUCCGGCGAGUGAAUGUAACUGGCAAGGUUAAGCACUUAAGGUGUGAAGCCGUAGCGAGAGCGAGUCUGAAAAGGGCGCAUGAAGUCAGUUGUAUUCGACCCGAAACCGGGUGACCUACCCAUGUCCAGGCUGAAGUGCAGGUAAAACUUCAUGGAGGGCCGAACCGACUCCCGUUGAAAUGGUAGCGGAUGAGGUGUGGGUAGCGGAGAAAUUCCAAUCGAACCCGGAGAUAGCUGGUUCUCUCCGAAAUAGCUUUAGGGCUAGCCUUGGAAUAGAUUACUGGAGGUAAAGCACUGAAUUGGCUAGGGGCCGAGAGGUUACUGAACCUUAUCAAACUAAGAAUGCCAGAUAAUCGUUUUCCAGGAGUCAGACAGUGGGAGAUAAGUUUCAUUGUCAAAAGGGAAACAGCCCAGACCUACAGCUAAGGUCCCAAAGUAUAGUUAAGUGGAAAAGGAUGUGGAAUUGCAUAGACAACCAGGAUGUUGGCUUAGAAGCAGCCACUCAUUAAAAGAGUGCGUAAUAGCUCACUGGUCGAGUGAUUCUGCGCCGAAAAUUUAACGGGGCUAAACUAUACACCGAAGCUUAGGAUACCGCAAGGUAUGGUAGGAGAGCGUUCUGUACGGAGUGAAGUCGUAGCGAAAGCGGCGGUGGACUGUACAGAAGUGAGAAUGCCGGAAUAAGUAGCGAGAAUUAAGUGAGAAUCUUAAUGGCCGAAAGUCUAAGGUUUUUGGAGGAAGGUUCGUCCGCUCCAAGUAAGUCGGGAGCUAAGGUCAGGCCGAAAGGCGUAGCCGAUGCACAAACGGUUGAUAUUCCGUUACCGUCUACAAUUUAAACAAAGGGACACAUACAAAGCGUUUAACCCGGGCGAUGGUUGACCCGGGCGCAAGGGACUGAAAUAAGAGUAGGGAAGUAAAUGUGGCGUAUGGCGAGAAAAGCUUUGUGAAUAGAAGUAGACGCCCGUACCGCAAACCGACACAGGUGGACAGGAAGAGAAUUCUAAGGCCAGCGGGAGAAGGGUAGUUAAGGAACUCGGCAAAUUGACUCCGUAACUUCGGAAUAAGGAGUGCUCGAAAGAGCCGCAGAGAAUAGGCCCAGGCGACUGUUUAGCAAAAACACAGGUCUCUGCCAAAUCGAAAGAUGAAGUAUAGGGGCUGACACCUGCCCGGUGCCGGAAGGUUAAGAGGAGGAGUGCAAGCUCCGAAUUGAAGCCCCGGUAAACGGCGGCCGUAACUAUAACGGUCCUAAGGUAGCGAAAUUCCUUGUCGGGUAAGUUCCGACCCGCACGAAUGGUGUAACGAUCUGGGCACUGUCUCAACUACCCACCCGGCGAAAUUGUAGUACCGGUGAAGAUGCCGGUUACCUGCGGCAAGACGGAAAGACCCCAUGGAGCUUUACUGUAGCCUGAUAUUGGGUUUCGGAAAUCUAUGUACAGGAUAGGCGGGAGACUGGGAAGUAUGAGCGUCAGCUUAUACGGAGUCAUUGUUGGGAUACCGCCCUUAGGUUUCUGGAAUUCUAACCUGCGACCGUGAAUCCGGUCGGGGGACAUUGUCAGGUGGGCAGUUUGACUGGGGCGGUCGCCUCCGAAAAGGUAACGGAGGCGCUCAAAGGUUGGCUCAGCACGGACGGAAACCGUGCCUCAGAGUGUAAACGCAAAAGCCAGCCUAACUGCGAGGAUGACGGUCCGAGCAGUAACGAAAGUUGGAGUUAGUGAUCCGGCGGUAUGUGAAUGGAAAUGC
This 2173-nucleotide ribosomal RNA is filed under the name human gut metagenome. RNAcentral describes it as "bacterial LSU rRNA". It matches the Rfam family "Bacterial large subunit ribosomal RNA", at positions 175 to 2442 of the family's 2925-position model. The record is from RNAcentral.